ACGGACGGACGACGGACGACGGAAGGACGGACGACGGAAGGACGGACGGACGACGGACGGACGACGGACGGACGACGGACGAAAAGAAGGACGGACGGACGGACGACGGACGGACGAGCCCGCCGAAAUCCGCACGGCCCAGGCCGCUCCCUUUAAAAAUAUUGAGGUAAAGGAAAAGGGGUAGCCCGCCGAAAAGGCCGGCGGAGAGGUCUUGAGGUCGGACGACCACGUGAGACAAUCCGCACGGCCCAGGCCGCUCCCCCGGGAAAACGAGAGCUGGAGAAGCCCGCCGAAAAGGCCGGCGGAAAAGUCUCAAGGUCGGACGACCACACGGGACAAUCCGCACGGCCCAGGCCGCUUCCCCGAGCAAACGCAAAUCGGAAAAGCCCGCCGAAAAGGCCAACGGAAGGUCCCCGGUGCCGCAAGGCCACACGGGAACGUCCGAAGGGCCCAGGCCGCUUCUCCGAAACAAACAAUUGAAGGGGAAAAGCGAGAGCGAAAGGCAAACGGGGAGCGAAAGCUAGAGGAAGAGGGAAAGCGACCAACGAUCAAGCAGAAAGCGAAAGAAGGUGGAUCUCGGCGGAGAGAAAGAAGG
Molecule: long non-coding RNA, 595 nt
Filed under: Zostera marina
Lineage: Eukaryota; Viridiplantae; Streptophyta; Magnoliopsida; Alismatales; Zosteraceae
Description: long non-coding RNA (ZMAR_LNC002964)
Source: RNAcentral